ACUUCCGGCCGUUGCUCAGGCUCUACACCUGGACAGGGCAGCGGUAGGGCAGCGGUGGGCCGGCGGUUGCGCUCCUCAGAUGGGCGGCCUUCCGGGCGGUGGCUUGCAUUUGAGCCUCAGAAAGCGAGGAGCGGCCUCCACGGAAGCCAAGCUGGCCGAGGUAACCGAGAAGCGGCUUCCCCUAUGGCUUCGACCCUGGAGCCCCUGGAGCGGCGGCGGCCGCAGGGAGGCAGCCAUUUUCCGUAGGCGGCGGCCGCGGCGCUUCCGGGCCGCGCGGCUGGAGCCUGUGGCGGGGCCACCGUCGGGCUUGAGAAACCAUUCUCUCCCCGCUUUUCGCAGCUAUAUCCCAGAGGCGUGGCUGAAGCUCGCUGGGACACUGUCCGCUUGCCCAGUGCCCACGGGCACGCCUGUCGCAGACACAGGCUGUGGCGAGUCCGAGUGCUGGCGGGCAGCAGUGCCUGCAGCUGCGCCGCCGACCCUUUCCCGCCUCCGCUGGCAUUUCCGUGUCCGGCCGAUGUCAUGCGGUCGGUUGAGCCUCAGGGCUAGCAGCUUCUACUGAUGCAGAAACAUAGGAAGUGUCUUUGCUUCUGGAGCCGGGGUGGGCAGCAAGGAGCUGGCCACUUCUUUGAAUACCGGUGGCAUCCUGGGCAGAAUUUCGGUGCCGUUUCUGCUGGCUCACUUCAGGAAAAGUGAGGCUCACGGCUCUCCUCAGCCCCCCUUAGAAGUCUAAAUGACCGCUGGAGAAAUACAAAGUCAGCAGAAAGUUUCACUUUCAUCGUCACCAACUCCUGUUGGAGUUGAUAUUUAAUAAACAUCAGCGACAGAAAGAAAAUACGACUUGAUAUUUUGUAAAUAAGAUAUCCUUUUUUACAACUUGAUAUUUUGUAAACACAGGUCAACUGUAAUUUUCUCCAGAUCAAGUAAGCACACUUAAAAAUUCGUAUAGGCCGGGUGCGGUGGCUGACGCCUGUAAUCCCAGCACUUUGGGACGCCAAGAUGGGUGGAUCACGAGGUCAGGAGUUCGAGACCACCCUGGCCAAGAUGGUGAAACCCCGUCUCUACUAAAAACACAAAAAUUAGCCGGGCGUGGUGGCACGCGCCUGUAAUCCCAGCAAGUCGGGAGGCUGAGGCAGGAGAAUGGCUUGAACCCGGAGGUGGAAGUUGCAGUGAGCUGAGAUCACGCCACUGCACUCCAGCCUGGGUGACGGGGAGACUCCAUCUCAAAAAAAAAAAUUCGUAUAAAUCAUCUGCAUGGCACCCUUUAUGUGUCUUGCAAAGAAGAAUGAUGAGCAUCUUGUUACUUACUUGGGAGACAUUGUCUGAAAAUAGGCUACUUUUUUAUUUUCCUUCUGUAGUACCCCCUCCCCCCCACUUUAUCUGGGUUUCACUUACCCGCUGUCAACUGCCAUCCAAAAAAUAUUAAAUGGAAAACUCCAGAAAUAAACAGUUCAUUAGUUUUAAAUAACUUUUUUUUUUUUUUUGAGAUAGAAUCUCACUUUGCUGCCCUGGCUGGAGUGCCCUGGCACGGUCUCAGCUCACUGCAGCCUCCGCCUCCCGGGUUCAAACAAUUCUCCUGCUUCAGCCUCCUGGGUGGCUGGGAUUACAGGCGCGCACCACCACACCUGGCUAAUUUUUGUAUUUUCAGUAGAGAAGGUUUCACCAUGUUGGCCAGGCUGAUCUUGAAGUCCUGAUCUCAGGUGAUCCACCCACGUCAGGCCUCCCAAAGUGCUGGGAUUACAGGCAUGAGCCACGGCGCCCCGCCAGUUUUAAAUAACUUAUUACCGUGUUUUAUUGUUAAUCUCUUAUUGUACCUAAUUUAUAAAUUAAACUAUCAUAGCUAUGUAUACAUAGAGAAAAUAGUAUAAUGCAGUUAGAUGCUGUUGGGGGUUUUAGGUAUUCACAGAAUGUACUGGAACUUACCCACCUUGGAGAAGGGAUACGACUGUAUUUUGAUCUCACCGUCUCAGCUCCUUUGCCAGUAUUCCUACAAUGGAAAAUAUAAAAUGUUGUUUUUUAAGGUGCCUUUAUUUUUAGUUUUUAAAUUAGAGACAAAGUCUUGCUCUGACUCCCAGGCUGGAGUGCAGUGAUGAGGUCAUGGCUCACUGCAACCUUGAAUUCCUGGGCUCAAGUGACUCUCCCACCUCAGCCUCCUGAACUAGAACUACUGGUGUGCUCUACCAUCCUGGCUAUUUUUUUUUUUUUUUAAUUUUGUGUUUUGUAGAGACGGGGUGUCGCUGUGUUGCUCAGGCUGGUCUGAAACUCCUGGCUCAAGUGAUCCUCCCACCUCCGUCUCCAAAAGUGCUGGGAAUGCAGGCAUGAGCCACUGCCCCUGGCCUAAAAUAUUUUUAAAGUGAAGGCUUCCAUCUUCACAAGAGGGUGAAGGGUCAUAAAAGUUGUACUCCCCUUACUAGAGACAGACGGGGAUGAUCUGUUGAAAUUUAAGAGAAUCUCAGAAUGUUUUCCUAAUCUUAUUUUCUCCUAUUCUUUUCUUAUGGGGAAGAUGGGAUAGGAGGCACACCAGUUAAAUCCUUGGAAAAUCCCAAAAUACUUUUCAGCCAGUGGGUGCCAAUUUUCUUACCCACGAGCCUUUCCUAAAUUGUUUUCUUUUUUAUAAAAAAGACAGUUGUCCACUGACAUUUGUGUUUUUUGUGCUGUGCUUCAGCUGAAUAAUAGAAAAGGAGAAAAACAAAGGGCCUGCUCGUUGAUUUUGAAGGGAAGACAGGAUACUUUUUCUGUUCUAUUUUCUCUCAUAAGUCGCAAGUGAUGAGGUUCAUGUGAAUUUCUUAUUGAUACAUACUUUUUUUUUCUUGUCCUCAGUGCUUUUAGGAAGAAGAUCCUUUUAUUGCUUUUGUACAAGACCAGACAGGAUCUCAUUUGUCAAACGUGGUACCAGUUGGGUGUCUUAACACAGGAGCAGAACUUCCUAGAGCAGAAUGAUGAUGGUAGAUCUGAAAGUGGCUGCGUACUUGGACCCUCAGAUCAGGGCUUUGUGGGAGACCAAGGGGCCUGCAAGAGAGAGCUCCGGUCAGAGUAAAAAAUCUCCUCGAAUGGACAGUCUCGAUCCUAAGAGCUCUUGCUGGCACUUCCGGAACUUCACCUAUGAUGAAGCAGCUGGACCCCGUGAGGCUGUCAGCAAACUUCAAGAAUUAUGUCAUCUAUGGCUGAGGCCAGCGAUCCACUCAAAAGAGCAGAUACUGGAACUGCUGGUGCUGGAGCAGUUCCUGACUAUUCUGCCCAGGGAGACACAGACCCAGAUGAAGAAGCACCAUCCACAGAGCAUUGAGGAGGCUGUGGCUCUGGUAGAACACUUGCAGAGGGAAUCUGGUCAAACAUGGAAUGGGGUGAGAAGAAAGAUUCCUGGCGUGUACAGUGAAAUAGGAUGCAGGUGGAUAUAGCAGAGAUGGUGGCAGUUAGUUGAGAAAUUCGAUGGAUUAGGUCACUGUGUUUUUUUUUUUUAGGACAGUUAAGGUGGGACUUGAAACUACAGGCCCACAGAAAAGUUUACAGGUUUCAGAGAUUGUGGCAGAUACUUCCCUGGCCUUAGAGAAAGAGAGUUGCUUUUGCCCUCUUUGGAGCCAGGGUGAAUUGAGGGUGAUGGGCCUAGUCUGGCUUGGCCAAGGAGACAGGACUUAAGUACUUAGAAACAGAAUAAAAGGUAAUAAAGAGUCAGGGAGGCUGGAUGCAGUGGCUCACACCUGUGUUCCCAGCACUUUGGGAGGCUGAGGCGGGUGGCUCACCUGAGGUCAGGAGUUCAAGACCAGCCUGGACAGCAUGGUGGAACCCUCUCUCUACAAAAAUAAACAAAUUAGCUGGGCGUGAUGAUGGGUGCCUGUAAUCCCAGCUAUCCUGGAGGCUGAGGAGGGAGAAUCAUUUGAACCUGGGGGGUUGCAGUGAGCCGAGAUUGCGCCAUUGCACUCCAGCCUGGGCAACACAGCAAGACUCCAUCUCACACACA
Molecule: small RNA, 3955 nt
Filed under: Pongo abelii (Sumatran orangutan)
Lineage: Eukaryota; Metazoa; Chordata; Mammalia; Primates; Hominidae
Description: retained intron
Source: RNAcentral